Molecule: ribosomal RNA, 751 nt
Filed under: Salmonella enterica subsp. enterica serovar Typhi
Lineage: Bacteria; Pseudomonadati; Pseudomonadota; Gammaproteobacteria; Enterobacterales; Enterobacteriaceae
Description: partial 23S ribosomal RNA
Rfam family: Bacterial large subunit ribosomal RNA
Source: RNAcentral
GGGUUGUGAGGUUAAGCGACUAAGCGUACACGGUGGAUGCCCUGGCAGUCAGAGGCGAUGAAGGGCGUGCUAAUCUGCGAUAAGCGCCGGUAAGGUGAUAUGAACCGUUAUAACCGGCGAUACCCGAAUGGGGAAACCCAGUGUGAUUCGUCACACUAUCAUUAACUGAAUCCAUAGGUUAAUGAGGCGAACCGGGGGAACUGAAACAUCUAAGUACCCCGAGGAAAAGAAAUCAACCGAGAUUCCCCCAGUAGCGGCGAGCGAACGGGGAGGAGCCCAGAGCCUGAAUCAGCAUGUGUGUUAGUGGAAGCGUCUGGAAAGGCGCGCGAUACAGGGUGACAGCCCCGUACACAAAAGCGCAUAUGCUGUGAGCUCGAUGAGUAGGGCGGGACACGUGGUAUCCUGUCUGAAUAUGGGGGGACCAUCCUCCAAGGCUAAAUACUCCUGACUGACCGAUAGUGAACCAGUACCGUGAGGGAAAGGCGAAAAGAACCCCGGCGAGGGGAGUGAAAAAGAACCUGAAACCGUGUACGUACAAGCAGUGGGAGCCCCACCACUAAGCCAGUGGUGAACUCCACAUACGCAUCCUUUGCUGAGGAGACGGUUAACGGAGCGAAAGCGACGUUCAACCUCAAAAGAAGCAGAGGGGGCUUAGUGGUGGGGUGACUGCGUACCUUUUGUAUAAUGGGUCAGCGACUUAUAUUCUGUAGCAAGGUUAACUGUAUAGGGGAGCCGGAGGGAAACCGAGUCU